RNAcentral lists this ribosomal RNA (206 nucleotides) under uncultured bacterium. Its description in RNAcentral is "partial 16S ribosomal RNA". It matches the Rfam family "Bacterial small subunit ribosomal RNA", at positions 568 to 774 of the family's 1533-position model. The record is from RNAcentral.
UGUGUAGGUGGCAAGAUAAGUCAGAAGUCAAAUUGUUGGGCUCAACCCAAUAUCGCUUUUGAAACUGUCUAGCUAGAGUCUAGGAGAGGAAAGUGGAAUUACAAGAGUAGCGGUGGAAUGCGUAGAUACUUGUAGGAAGGCCAAAGACGAAGGUAGCUUUCUGGACUAAGACUGACACUGAGGCACUAAAGCUAGGGGAGCAAACA